RNAcentral lists this long non-coding RNA (1718 nucleotides) under Salmo trutta (river trout). RNAcentral describes it as "lncRNA (ENSSTUG00000012657.1)". The record is from RNAcentral. Lineage: Eukaryota; Metazoa; Chordata; Actinopteri; Salmoniformes; Salmonidae.
ACAUUAUUGUGGCCGACAUGAUGGAAAAUCAUGGGUACGUAUGAUGACUAACGGUGUAAUAUUUAAGUGUAUGAUUUGUCAAACUUAGGUAUUAGACACCCCAAAAUGAAAGUCUGCUAGAUGAUUUCAGACCUUAAAAGCAGACUACUGUCAAUAUACUGUAUGUCCACAUCCCACACCAUUGCUUGAUAGAAUUGGCAACAAAAAUAUUUCUGUUCAUUUUGAGGUAUAGUUUCUAUAUCUACAAACCAAUGGUUCGGAAUGGAAACAUGGCUUGACAGUAGUGUACUUUUUGAGGUAUGAAAACAUCUUAAAAGCUUUCAUUUUAGGGUGACCUUUGACACCAGCUCCAUUACUGUGGCAUUGUGAUUUUAGGUGGAUCUGAAACACCAGUCAUGCAUGCAUUCCCUGUAGAGUACCAGCCUGUCUGUUAAUACUGAGGGGUUUUUCCAGAACCAUCCCUCAGCUUUAGAUCAAAACAUGUAGUGGGGCUUCAGUUUUGCUGAGAAAUGAAUCAGAUUAUCGCUUUUACUAGAAUUGUUGUUACUUUUUAUUUUAUCUUCCUCAAAGUAGGAUCCCCCCAUCAAGUGUCCGCACCAACUACGCCCUGGGGAUUGUGACUUUAUUCCCCUACUUGAAUGAUCCAGAUUCAGAGCAUGGUUAUGAAAAAUAUUAUGAUGCAGCUAGUGGGUCUGGUUACCUGACCUGGAGAAUAAAGACAGUGGGGCGCAACACGUCAUGUAAGACCAAGAAGAGAACCAAGCCCUCCUAUCAAAAUGGUCCCAAGGCUCAGCGAAGUUGCCCUUCAGCUGUUGAGCAACUGUCGGGGGAUGAAUGCAGAGAGGCGAUAUCUGUGCUUCAGCAUACAACAACUAAUGAGUCACUGGUUCGAGAGAAGAUGAUGGUGACGUUCCAAUACAGACAGGAGGUGGUUCAUGAUCCGGAGAAGUCCUCAACUGUCCUAGAUGUCUUCCCCAGAUUCCUUGACACUACAGGCUUGGUAAGACUGUAUGAAUAGAAUUCAUCAUGUUUUAGUGAUUUUAAAAGAAAGUGGAAAGUUAAUUAAUUUUGAUUUUUUUGUUGUUGUUGAAUGUACUUCAGAUCAACCAAGAUUUCACCAGACUUUUCGGAGAGGUGGUGUCUGGGACAUUUAUGGCGAAGUGGCCAACAUUUUUCAAACCCAGGGUCAUUGCAGAUUGCAAAACCCUUCCCUUUAGUGAACCUGUGGAAGACCUAAUCUCAUCUGCGCAGCAGGAAUCCAAUGAUUAUGGUACUAGUGCAGAACUCAAAUAUAUGUUCUUUGGUGUUUCCAAUGACUUUUCUAACUUGACCAUACAAUGUCUGAGUGAAACUGGCAUGUGAGCUUUUACUGAGCAUUUCUUGUUUUCCACUGAAAAAUUAGGAUGGGAGAGUGACUUGGCAGCCAUUUUGUUGCUUCUGCAUCUCCUACCCCCGACCUCAAAGGGCCCGAAGACCGCAAAGAUCCGUACCUCUCAAGCUGCUGACCAUCUGGUUAGAUUUAUGAAGGUUUGUAUGUUCUGUGAUCUUUGUGCACUUUUCCUUUCCUUAGGACAGUACUUUUUAGCAAUACACAGCUCCUGUUUGCCCCUCCCCUGCCACUUUGACAGUUUCACAUUAUGGUCUCCAGAGGUGUAGCCAAAUUCAAUUACAUCCCAUGUAAAUAGGAUAACCAUCCAUUUUAUGAAACUCUGAGCGCA